Molecule: long non-coding RNA, 563 nt
Filed under: Homo sapiens (human)
Lineage: Eukaryota; Metazoa; Chordata; Mammalia; Primates; Hominidae
Description: non-protein coding lnc-EGLN1-1:18
Source: RNAcentral
GUACUAUUGCGGCCGCCCUCUGCUGCGCCUGAAGAGAGAGGCGACUCUACAAGCCUCACAGCAUGCACUGUUACUAAAAAGACGAUGCGUCCUCCUGGACCUGAGAUCUGUGUGAUCGUGGGAAAGCGACGAAAAACGUACGUAAUUUUUUUCUGAAGGCACCUUCGGGACACCUUACCCUUCCCUCAGGGGGGCCCAGCUUCGCGCGCGGUGCUGUGGGGGUUGUAGUUCCUCCGCCGGAGCGGGACCUCCGGUGCCCCGGGCCAGGGAUGUGAGAAAGAAGCGAGCCCUCGAGUUUCCUCGGGGCAUGUGGGAAGGUUUUUUUCAGGAUCCAGGCAGAACCUUACAGAGCUGGGAGUUUUUUAACUUUCCAUUCCUGGCAGUGACGCCAGGAGCUUUAAGUGAUGGAAAUAUGCGAGUCAAUCAGUGGAUGGUGAACAAAGGAACAGUAAAUGGAGUAACUUGGCUAGAAUAUGGCAGUAACUACAAGGCAUGUUCUGCUCUGGCACGAAGGAAAGGCUACAUCUCUUUCUCUGUCCGUGCACCAGGGAAAGGUUUUGAUC